UACAGAGGUCCCAAGCGUUGUUCGGAUUCACUGGGCGUAAAGGGUGCGUAGGUGGCAGGGUAAGUUUGAUGUGAAAUCUCCGGGCUUAACCCGGAAACUGCAUUGAAUACUAUCCUGCUCGAGGGUUGGAAGGGGGACUGGAAUACUUGGUGUAGCAGUGAAAUGCGUAGAUAUCAAGUGGAACACCAGUGGCGAAGGCGAGUCCCUGGACAACUCCUGACACUGAGGCACGAAAGCUAGGGGAG
Molecule: ribosomal RNA, 245 nt
Filed under: uncultured bacterium
Lineage: Bacteria
Description: partial 16S ribosomal RNA
Rfam family: Bacterial small subunit ribosomal RNA
Source: RNAcentral